Molecule: ribosomal RNA, 487 nt
Filed under: uncultured bacterium
Lineage: Bacteria
Description: bacterial SSU rRNA
Rfam family: Bacterial small subunit ribosomal RNA
Source: RNAcentral
CUCAGGAUGAACGCUAGCGGCAAGGCUUAACACGAUGCAAGUCGAGGGGGUAUAGGUUCUUCGGAACUAGAGACCGGCGGCACGGGUGCGUAACGCGUAUGCAAUCACUUUUUACAGAGGGAUAGCCCAGAGAAAUUUGGAUUAAUACCUCAUAGUAUGUGAGAAUCGCAUGAUUUUCACAUUAAAGUUCCAACGGUAAAAGAUGAGCAUGCGUCCCAUUAGCUAGAUGGUAAGGUAACGGCUUACCAUGGCGACGAUGGGUAGGGGUCCUGAGAGGGAGAUCCCCCACACUGGUACUGAGACACGGACCAGACUCCUACGGGAGGCAGCAGUGAGGAAUAUUGGACAAUGGGCGCAAGCCUGAUCCAGCCAUGCCGCGUGCAGGAUGACGGUCCUAUGGAUUGUAAACUGCUUUUGUACAGGAAGAAACACUCCCUCGUGAGGGAGCUUGACGGUACUGUAAGAAUAAGGAUCGGCUAACUCCGUG